ACCGUGAAUAAAGAUGAGUUGAAGC
RNAcentral lists this small RNA (25 nucleotides) under Bombyx mori (domestic silkworm). Its description in RNAcentral is "ovarian small RNA-11331". The record is from RNAcentral. Lineage: Eukaryota; Metazoa; Arthropoda; Insecta; Lepidoptera; Bombycidae.